AUGGCUGUGGACCUGCAACGCCUGCGCCACAAGUUACUCACCACCGGCGGCCACCACCAACUCGCCUCCGCCGCUGCUAUGCCAGCGAGUGGGCCUUGUUAUGGCGCUGCGGUGCCGAGCCAGCGGGGGCACCAGCCGUACGCGGACCUCUUCACGCUGCCGCCGCCGCCGCCGAUGUCGUCGUCGGCCCCGUAUCAGUGUUCGGAGUUCUUGGCGAUGGCCGCGGCUGAUCUGGCGAAGAAGGGCGUCAGCCCCGCCGGUGCUCAGGAAAUGAUUACCAACAAGCGGAAGCGCGACGAGCGGUCGUCGGUUCUUGGCGCGGCUGACGUUCUCCCCGCCCACGCACAACAGGAGGCUAUCGCCGUCGACUGCAUCCUGCUCAAACAUGCGAAACAGAUGUGGACUACUUUGGCGGAGCAAGGGCAGAGCCACACGAAGCGAAUCGUCUCGGCCGUGGAGGCCAGGGCGGCGAAGCGGCUCAAGGCCAAGGACGAGGAGAUUGAGCGGAUCAGGACCAUGAACUGGGCACUCGACGAGCGCCUGAGGAACCUCUUGAUGGAGGCUCAGAUGUGGCGCGACGUCGCGCAGUCCCACGAGGCCACGGCCAACGUGCUCCGCGGCGACCUACAGCGGGUGCUCGACGCUCAGGCGGUCCGUGGCAGUGGAAGCGGCGACGGUCAGGAGGACGACGCCGAGUCGUGCUGCUGGGGGGAGAACCAGGUGCCCCUCGGCGCGGAGGAGGAGGUGGGCACGCCGGUAGUGGAGGAGCGUCCGGCGACAGGAACAAGAAUGUGCAAGGCGUGUCACGACGGCGCGGCCGUUGUGCUGCUGCUGCCGUGCCGGCACCUCUCUGUGUGCGCGCCGUGCGCGGCCGCGGCGCAGGCGUGCCCGGCGUGCGGUAGCGCCAAGAAUGGCAGCGUCUGCGUCAACUUUUCGUGA
This 939-nucleotide ribosomal RNA is filed under the name Triticum aestivum (bread wheat). RNAcentral describes it as "partial small subunit ribosomal RNA". The record is from RNAcentral. Lineage: Eukaryota; Viridiplantae; Streptophyta; Magnoliopsida; Poales; Poaceae.